This 256-nucleotide ribosomal RNA is filed under the name uncultured bacterium. Its description in RNAcentral is "partial 16S ribosomal RNA". It matches the Rfam family "Bacterial small subunit ribosomal RNA", at positions 524 to 777 of the family's 1533-position model. The record is from RNAcentral.
UACGAAGGGGGCUAGCGUUGCUCGGAAUCACUGGGCGUAAAGGGUGCGUAGGCGGGUCUUUUAAGUCAGGGGUGAAAUCCUGGAGCUCAACUCCAGAACUGCCCUUUGAUACUGAGGAUCUUGAGUUCGGGAGAGGUGAGUGGAACUGCGAGUGUAGAGGUGAAAUUCGUAGAUAUUCGCAAGAACACCAGUGGCGAAGGCGGCUCACUGGCCCGAUACUGACGCUGAGGCACGAAAGCGUGGGGAGCAAACAGGG